GACGAACGCUGGCGGCGUGCUUAACACAUGCAAGUCGAACGGAAAGGCCCUGCUUUUGUGGGGUUCUCGAGUGGCGAACGGGGGAGUAACACGUGAGUAACCUGCCCUUGACUUUGGGAUAACUUCAGGAAACUGGGGCUAAUACCGGAUAGGAGCUCCUGCUGCAUGGUGGGGGUUGGAAAGUUUCGGCGGUUGGGGCUGGACUCGCGGCUUAUCAGCUUGUUGGUGGAGUAGUGGCUUACCAAGGCUUUGACGGGUAGCCGGCCUGAGAGGGUGACCGGCCACAUUGGGACUGAGAUACGGCCCAGACUCCUACGGGAGGCAGCAGUGGGGAAUAUUGCACAAUGGGCGGAAGCCUGAUGCAGCAACGCCGCGUGCGGGAUGACGGCCUUCGGGUUGUAAACCGCUUUCGCCUGUGACGAAGCGUGAGUGACGGUAAUGGGUAAAGAAGCACCGGCUAACUACGUG
Molecule: ribosomal RNA, 468 nt
Filed under: uncultured bacterium
Lineage: Bacteria
Description: partial 16S ribosomal RNA
Rfam family: Bacterial small subunit ribosomal RNA
Source: RNAcentral